CACAUAGCUCAGUGGUAGAGCACUUCCUUGGUAAGGAAGAGGUCACCGGUUCAAAUCCGGUUGUGG
RNAcentral lists this transfer RNA (66 nucleotides) under marine eukaryotic metagenome. It matches the Rfam family "tRNA". Rfam says of the family: Transfer RNA (tRNA) molecules are approximately 80 nucleotides in length. The record is from RNAcentral.